GCCCCCGGGGCGUGAGGACAACGGGGAUAUGCUUUUGAUUUUGCAACUGGUGCCCCAUGCGGACGAUUUCCGUGCGUAUGUAUCAUGGAACCUUGCAGAUAUCGGGGGUGUAAUUGGUGACUGCUGUAGUUCGGGAUAGGCCAUUGAAAGUUGGUGAAGAAAAGGGAGGACAAAAUAGUUUUCUUAUCUUAUCUCCACGUGAUUCGGCUUGGUUCCAGCCAUGUUUCCGUUCUAGAAGGCAGAGAGAACAACUUCCAUAAACAUUCGUUGAAUUGGACUUUCUUUCUAUUCACUCUAGUCAUACAUACAUACAUAUGGCAAAACUCAACAAUCCCAACUGCGAGCUGCAGACUCGAACCAGGCGCGGCCAUACCAGACUCAGCCAGCAUAUAUAUCCCGUCUAAAUGGGUCGGAACCCCGGCAAAAAACAAUCCCUCAGGGGCCCUGAACAUAGAAUCGUUGUUACACCUGAGGCACGAAGUGGUGCGUGCUGACCUCCAACAACAUAUCGACACAAGAGGCCAGGCUCCUAAGAAAAGGGUAAACAACUGCUCUUACAAGGGGAUACGGAAGUGGCGGCAACUGGCGAACGAGUGCCGGGUAUCCGCGCCACCACCGGCAUUACCAUGUGUGUGUGGAUCCUGUCACGCCACGCAACCGGACCAGGUGCUGUUUCUUUACCGGAGAUAACAAGGACGGGCAGCCAUAUCGCAUGAUGUUAUGUAUGUUUGUAUGGCGGGGAAAUCAGCAAAACAGAGAAAAAAAAAACAAGUUUCGCAGUCCACGUAGGGCUCAGGACAUCCAUCGUUCGCCCUUCUGCUGAUUUGAGGCAGUUUUGCCCCUUUGUCUUUUUAAAAACACACACAAAUCGCUGGCCAGUCGGCCCUGCACCAACCUCAUAGAGGAGUUGGAAAGGUAAAUUCUGAAUUCCUCUGCCCAAGACAUCUGAGAUAUGCCCAGUCUCCCACAGCGCGGAUACUUUGUAGAAGGGGAGUCGUGAGGCAUGGUACUCAUUUCUCAGGGGCAUCAGGAAGCCGCUCAAUAACAUAUUUCGCCCGCGCGACGCUCAUAAUCGGCACACCAGGGAUUUUCCUACACAGAAGUAAAAGAUGCAAGAUAAAACGUCAGAACAGUCCAUCUCAAGUAGGAAUUUUUCGUAAAAAGUACCCCCACCAAAAAAAAAAAGAAAGAAAGAAAGAAAGAAAGAAAGAAACUCACCGAAUCCUCCGCUUCAAAUCCCUAUCAUUCGUCGCCACGAUGUAAACCCGGUGCUUAAUGACGCGAUCAACCAGACAAUCGUCCGCAUACGUGCCCUUAUGGUCACACUUCAGCCUCUCGAAGCGCGGAUCCUUCGCGAUGCGCAGCGCGAUGCGGUACUUGGGGCCCAGCUUCUCCAACUCCGCCAGCACGCAGUCCGUCACGAGGGGGAUGCAUUUGGCGUACAGGCAGUCCAUCAUCGUCGGGAUGACGUCGAGCUUGUGCUGCACCGUGUGCGAGAGGAAGUUUGUGUCGACGAGGAUGGAGUAGGGGGGCGUGAGGGCCGUGUUGUAUUGGAAGAAGAGGGCGGAGGAGACUUGGGGGCUGUAUUUGGGUUUUUGUGUUAGCGGGCCGUUCGGGCAGUGGAUGGAUGGAUGGAUGGAUGGAUGGAUGGUUGUUACAUUUCGCGGACGAGGUCGUCUUUCUUCUUCUUCUCGUCCGUUCCCUUCUGCGGGGCCUUUGCCUGGUUCUGCUUUCUACGGGGUUUGGGAUAAAGAAGUUAGUUAGCUCCAAUCCGCGAGCGGCACAUUUUCUUUUUGCCCCAGGACCGAAGAUAACCUUGGUGAGGAGGAAUGACUGAGAUGAAAAAAUUAACAAAAUAAAUAACAUACAAUCGGCUAUCACGGCUACCAAUCACUCUUUUCAUCUAUAUUAUCUCAUUCAACCCGUUAACAACAACUUGAUUUUCAUUCUGCCGUUAGUAACAGACCAAACAAACACCUGAAGCAACGCACCUGAGCGAACUUGCGCGUUCGCUUCUGGAUACCCAUGGCCGUCUGGUUUCCUGUGGAAGCGGAAGAGCGAAUAGGCGGGGGACAGAUUAAAGCAGCCCUUGUUGAGCAGAAUCGAGAUUGACAGUGAUAAGUCAAAUCAAGGUUUCUCAAGGGAAUCACGAACUUUUUUUUUGCCUUUUGGAAAAACUACC
Molecule: small RNA, 2182 nt
Filed under: Histoplasma capsulatum
Lineage: Eukaryota; Fungi; Ascomycota; Eurotiomycetes; Onygenales; Ajellomycetaceae
Also listed under: 1 other name
Description: hypothetical RNA
Source: RNAcentral